GACGAACGCUGGCGGCGUGCUUAACACAUGCAAGUCGAACGGAAAGGCCCUGCUUUUGUGGGGUGCUCGAGUGGCGAACGGGUGAGUAACACGUGAGUAACCUGCCCUUGACUUUGGGAUAACUUCAGGAAACUGGGGCUAAUACCGGAUAGGAGCUCCUGCUGCAUGGUGGGGGUUGGAAAGUUUCGGCGGUUGGGGAUGGACUCGCGGCUUAUCAGCUUGUUGGUGGGGUAGUGGCUUACCAAGGCAUUGACGGGUAGCCGGCCUGGGAGGGUGACCGGCCACAUUGGGACUGAGAUACGGCCCAGACUGCUACGGGAGGCAGCAGUGGGGAAUAUUGCACAGUGGGCGGAAGCCUGAUGCAGCAACGCCGCGUGCGGGAUGACGGCCUUCGGGUUGUAAACCGCUUUCGCCUGUGACGAAGCGUGAGUGACGGUAAUGGGUAAAGAAGCACCGGCUAACUACGUG
This 468-nucleotide ribosomal RNA is filed under the name uncultured bacterium. RNAcentral's name for it is "partial 16S ribosomal RNA". It matches the Rfam family "Bacterial small subunit ribosomal RNA", at positions 28 to 507 of the family's 1533-position model. The record is from RNAcentral.